GAUGAACGCUGGCGGCGUGCCUAAUACAUGCAAGUCGAGCGAACGGACGAGAAGCUUGCUUCUCUGAUGUUAGCGGCGGACGGGUGAGUAACACGUGGAUAACCUACCUAUAAGACUGGGAUAACUUCGGGAAACCGGAGAUAAUACCGGAUAAUCUUUUGAACCGCAUGGUUCAAAAGUGAAAGACGGACUUUCUGUUACUUAUAGAUGGAUCCGCGCUGCAUUAGCUAGUUGGUAAGGUAACGGCUUACCAAGGCAACGAUGCAUAGCCGACCUGCGAGGGUGAUCGGCCACACUGGAACUGAGACACGGUCCAGACUCCUACGGGAGGCAGCAGUAGGGAAUCUUCCGCAAUGAGCGAAAGCCUGACGGAGCAACGCCGCGGGAGUGAUGAAGGUCUUCGGACCGUAAAACUCUGUUAUUAGGGAAGAACAUAUGUGUAAGUAGCUGUGCACAUCUUGACGGUACCUAAUCAGAAAGCCACGGCUAACUACGUG
Molecule: ribosomal RNA, 497 nt
Filed under: uncultured bacterium
Lineage: Bacteria
Description: partial 16S ribosomal RNA
Rfam family: Bacterial small subunit ribosomal RNA
Source: RNAcentral